Molecule: microRNA precursor, 98 nt
Filed under: Chlorocebus sabaeus (green monkey)
Lineage: Eukaryota; Metazoa; Chordata; Mammalia; Primates; Cercopithecidae
Description: miRNA (ENSCSAG00000022653.1)
Source: RNAcentral
AGGUGGGAGGAUUGCUUGAGCCUGGGAGGUGGAGGUUGCAGUGACCUGAGAUCGUGCUACUACACUCUAGCCUGGGCGAUAGAGCCAGACCUUGUCUC